ACUGCCUACCAUCUAACUGUGUGAGUGCUUAUUCUCUCUGCAGUCCUGGGAGGAGCUCUGGUGAGAUGGGCACUGAGUGUGCUCUUCCCUUUGUUUGUGAGAGUUAAAGCUAACUUGCUUGGUGACCAGCACAGGGCUUGCCAAGCUCACAGCUCACAGCAUUUCCCUCUCGAAGGAAGAAUCACAGGACUGGGUCAUGGAAUGCAGAUUCAAAAGGAAACCUGGAGCAAAUGACUGGAUUGAUAUGUAAAAUAAGAGUGGUCUUAUGAUGUUCAAGGGAUGAGAUCUGCAAAGAAUCUUUUAGACUAUGAAGAGAGAACUGCUUGGAGAACCAUCUUGAGCAGAGAAAGCAGGAGAGAGAGAGAGAGAGAGAGAGAGAGAGAGAGAGAGAGAGAGAGAGAGAGAGAGAGAGAGAGAGAGAGAGAGAGAGAGAGAGAGGAGCAAAGAAAAAGCAGCCUGGGAAGCUGAACUGAGCGAACAUAGGCCGUUAGCUUGGAUCCACAAUUUGAUUUCUAGUCAUUUGUUUUUCCACCUUCCAGAUACCCCUUCUCUCAGAACCCCUCUCCAAGCAGAGGUUGGUCCUUGGUAAAUACCCAGGAAGGGUAUUCAACUCAUUGGCUGAAGGCUCAAGGCUAUCUAGACAGCUUACUAGCAUGGAGAGAAACUCUAGGCAGAAUAAUAAAUGACAGAGAGCCCACAGUCCUCUCAGUACGUGUCAUGGUUAUGGGGUGCAGGGCACGGGAGGAGGUUCCCAGAGCAGGUGCAGAGACAGGGAGAGAAUGGCUCCACUCCUGCCAAUCUCAAAUCUCUGAGAUUCCCAGGGUUUGAGCUUAUUCAACCUUACCAGUUCUUACGCCUGUCUGGUAGCAUGAGCCCACAUGCCCUACAAGGGGAAGAGUGGUGCGGGACACUUAGGAGGUAGGUGGGCUUGUCAAAACAGGGAUAGGAAGCUGGUGCUGUCAGUGGUUGGGAGUGGUCGGAUAAAGUCAGCAGAUGGAGGAGAGCAGAAGCUAAAGAGGCACACAGAAAAUGGGGAAAUAGUGGCUGGCUUAGGGUUGCACACAGCCACUCUUGAGGUUUACUUCUCAGCAAGAGGGUUGAGGAGUAAAAUCCACUGAGAAGGAUUUGCAGAGCCCUCAGCAGACAUUUGUGCUGGGCACCUCCUGCGUAUCCCUGAAAGCAGGUAAAGGGAAGACUCUGGGUUGCUUUGGUUUGUUGUGUCUCCCAGAGCCUGCCAGCAGUGGUUGCUACAUGGUGGCCGACACAACAACUGUAGCUUAUGAUAACUUACGCUUUAAGAAAACAGAGGAUCUUGGGGGAGACCGAGCUCUGUUCAGUGUGGAGAGCUUUUUGGGGUGCAGCUUGGCAGGAGUCUGACAUUGGCCAAGGACAAGGAAAUGGGCUUCAGACAGGAAUCUGACAUUGGCCAUGACAAGGAAGUAAGUUCAUGGAGGGACCAGACAUUGGCUAAGGACAAGGAAGUAAGAAUUUGGUUUUAGUGUAGAACAAAGAAGUAGGCUCAGCUAUCUUCAUGAUCCUUAGAAACAGCUAACACGGGGGCUGGAGAGAUGGCUCAGUGGUUAAGAGCACCGACUGCUCUUCCAGAGGUCCUGAGUUCAAAUCCCAGCAACCACAUGGUGGCUCACAACCAUCUGUAACAAGAUCUGACUCCCUCUUCUGGAGUGUCUGAAGACAGCUACAGUGUACUUAUAUAUAUUAAAUAAAUAAAUCUUUAAAAAAAAAAAAAAAAAAAAAGAAACAGCUAACACCAGAGUGACCAUUGGGUUUUGUGUCUUGCUUAUUCCUCAUUGUACUACUCACCCUGAAUACUUGCAUGCAAUUAAAAUGGUAUAAAAAGCAGACUGGGAAAGUUAAAUUUGCCUUCAGUCUCAGAAUUGACUGGGAUCAUGCUACAAUGUUGUCUAACUGUUUUUUCUUUUGAAUCCUCAUUCCGUACUGGAGAACCCAUUGACUGACUGAGUGGUCUUGGUCAGUUCAGCAACUGUUUGUUGAGUACCCUCUAUGUUUCUUCCAGGUGCUCUGCUGGUCAGAGGACACGAAGCUGAAUCCAGGAAUCCCUGCACACUCCAGAGACAGAGGCAGAAGGAGGCACUCAGGGUUGGAGAGACUGUAAUGUGUGGGAUGUUGAGAGUGAAGUGUUGAUCUUAGGCAGGAUAAGUAGGAAUUAUCCAGGUGUGUUUUAGUUAGGGUUACUGUUGCUUUGACACAUCAUGACCAAGACAACCUGUGGAAGAAAGGGUUUAUUUCAGCUUAUACUUGCAGGCCCAUCACUGAAGAAGUCUAGGCAGGAACCGAUGCAGAGACCGUCCAUGGAGGAGUGUUGCUUACCGGCUUGCUUAACUGCUUUCUUAAAGAAUAAGAAAGCCACUCACAAUGGCCUGACCCUCCCCCACUAAUCACCACUUAAGAAAAUGUCCUAAAUGGCUUCCCUAUGGCCAGAUGUUAUAGAAGCAUAUCUUAUUUAGAGUUAAGAGUCCAUGGCCAUCCUGGCAGGGAACAUGGCAGCAGGCAGGCAGGCAGGCAGGCAUAGCACUGGACUUCGAGCUCACAUCUUGAGAGCCUGCCCCAGUGACACACCUCCUCUAACAAGACCACACCUCCUAAUCCUUUCCAAAGAGUUAUUCCAGCUGGGAUCAGGGACUAAAACCUAUAAACCUGUUGGGGGCCAUUCUCAUCCAAACCACCACAGUGAAAAACAUUGGACCUUCGUUCUGAAGGCAAUGAAAGAAUUUCACAGGUGCUUUAAAAGCUUUCAAGGAAUGUCUUAAGGUAGUAGUUACAAAAUUAAAAGCAAUUAAAAAUCAUCAGACACUGAACAGUCACUCAAAAUAAACAUAGCUGUGCAAAGGACUCCACGUCAUCUGGAGUUAAAGUGUCAUAAUAAUGGCUAAUUAUAAUAGUCACAGGCAUUUGACAGGGGAAGACUGUGCACUGUCCUCUCAGCUCACGAGGUCUGUGCCACUCAGUCUUCAAAGCAAUCACAAGAGGGAGGAAUCUGCUCCUCCACAGCCAACGCCACUCAUGGCUGCUGCGUUUUGGCUUUAGUCUUUGGGUAUUGGCAACUGCAGUAGAAUGCAUGGUGCGCUCACAUCGAAGUCUCUUAAGCCUGUGGCUGGUGAGUCACAUGGCAAGAGCAACACUGAAGAUGUGAUCAGGUUGGACCUGGAUUUACCAGGUAGGUUCAGAGUAAUUAGAUAGGUUCUUCUGAGACAGUGGCUGUUGCAUCACGGAGUGGGGAGUGGGCUGGGAGAAGAGCAGGAAAGGAGGUGGAGGGACGAAGAGAGGAAAGGAAAGGGAAAUGGAGGGAAGGGGAGCAGGUAGGGAAAGGAAGAGGAAGAAAAGCAGGAUGGGGAAGAGCAGGUGGGGGAGGAGAGAGAUGCGGAGGAUAAGGAGGGCAAGAUAGGAGAAGAGAAGGUCCUAAGCUGGAAGGAAACCAGCCUGCUUGGCAGCCUCUCUUUGAGGCUCUCUAUUCAAGCUGUAGACUCAAAGAAUUACCAGGCUCCUCCUGCUGCAGGAAGAAAAGUCGGGAGCUCUGGGAACUCAUAGGGGGUGAGCUAGAGCUAGAGGAGGGACUUGUCUCUGGAAGAAAGAUUGACAACCUGGCAAGGACCGAGCAGGAAAGGCUAGAGCUGAGAUAGUAGUGGUCAGGCAACCACAUCUUGUCCAGACUGCUCAGUGUGCCUGCUUUCUGCCUUCCAUGUUAAUUUUACUCUCUUGGACUUGGGGCCAUUGGGUCUUUCUGCAACUUUUCCCAAGGUGGCCACAUGGAGUGAAUCUCUUUUGCACUAUUAAUUUGGCGCGUUCAAUUGUCUUUUCCCAGAUCAAUGGCUGAACCAGACUUGCCAAGGCACAAGCUGUCACUCUAAGUCAGGUCAUGGAAAGAAACUGCAGUGAUGUGUUUUGAGGAAGAAACCACAAGAACGGGAGAUCCCCCCUAUAGAUGACAGCUCUGCCAGUAGCCAGUCGUUGACAGAA
This is a long non-coding RNA of Mus musculus (house mouse), 3996 nucleotides long. RefSeq annotates it as predicted gene, 38825. Lineage: Eukaryota; Metazoa; Chordata; Mammalia; Rodentia; Muridae. The record is from RefSeq and is a predicted model, not a curated record. The transcript is spliced from 2 exons.